This 1214-nucleotide long non-coding RNA is filed under the name Equus caballus (horse). RNAcentral's name for it is "lncRNA (ENSECAG00000052417.1)". Lineage: Eukaryota; Metazoa; Chordata; Mammalia; Perissodactyla; Equidae. The record is from RNAcentral.
CAUAACUUAUCUCUAAUGUCUAAAGAUACCAGUCUGAAAGAGGUUCUCUAUGAACUUCAAAAUCUGUGUUAGGACCAUUGGCUGGAGCUCCUGGAGAAGCACAUGUGCCAGCAUUGUUUAAAAUCAAGUCAAUUCCUGACAGUUCCAAUGCAUUAGAGAAAAAGAAAAUGUAAGUGCUGCAGGGUGAUGUGGUGGCAGCAACUUUUGAAGAGUAUAUUUUUUCCACAGCAGGUGAGUACUAAUACGUUUUAUGCAAUUUAUCAUCCUUGUCUUUGUUCAAGGGAUUUUUUUGUAAAAAUAAGAAUAAAGAUUUUUUUUAAUCUUAAGACUAUAACAAGUCAAAUAUUUCAUGAUUCCUCCAUGGCCAGCCAAUCAAAAUACUCACGUAGGCUGGAUAAACUUAAGAGCCACACUGUAAUUUGAUUCAUUGUGCAUUGAUUCAUUCAGCAACAGUUCAUUCACUUGACCAAUAUUUAUGGAGCACCUGCUAUGUCCUAGGCAUCAUGCCAGUCCUGCAGAUACAAGCAUCAACAAGAAAGACAGAGUCCCUGACCUUUCGGUGCUUAUUUACUUAAAAUCCUAUUGAUUUCUGAUCUUCACAGAUUUACCACAUCUUUAGAAAGCAGAUCAGAUAGGCAAAGUGUAUAACAUCUUUUAAAUGGCUCCGAUAAAUCCCCCCUUUCCUCAAAAUUUGUUACUAUCUCAAAUUGUUCAUGCCUGGAGAUCCACCGCCCCUUCGUCUCCAGGCUUUGUUCCCCGUACAAGCAUCCAGACACUGGAGCUGAGAAUAGGGCAGAGAGGAGCAUGUAUAACCCAGUCAUUUUCACCUUCAUCUGUAAGAAUGUAACAAAGCCUUCUUUGUUGUGAUCAGAUUCUGGUGAGAAGACAUCUGAGUUGAGAGAUCCCAAGGACCCUGGAUACGUGGAUGCUGGAGACAGAAAACGGGAAUUACCGUGUGCUUAUCUGCACCUGAAGAGAGUAACCGGAUGCAAACCAGCCUCUGCGGAUCUCAGACCUGCCCCUCUCACGCUGCCUUCUCCAUGGCUGGUUGUUCGCCACAGGAUCUGAGCGCGAAGGAAUCAGGCAUGGUAGCCACUGGACUAGAGAGGAUGAGAGACACGUGGAGCAGACACGAAUCAGAACUGCAACUUUGAGCCUGAAGCCUGGAACCUGGAGGCUAGAGUCCAGCCUAGCUUAGUGGAGUUGCAGCCAAC